Lytechinus variegatus (green sea urchin) is the source of this 525-nucleotide long non-coding RNA. RefSeq lists it as uncharacterized. The transcript has 3 exons. The record is from RefSeq and is a predicted model, not a curated record. Lineage: Eukaryota; Metazoa; Echinodermata; Echinoidea; Temnopleuroida; Toxopneustidae.
AGAUAUCGAUGAAGAUUGACAUCCAUACAUUCACUAGGCCUACGACGAAGUUCAAUAAAACUGUAGUAGAAAUUGUGCUGAAGGAAGAAAAGGAGGUCGUGACAAUGGACGUAGAGGAAGAAUCAAAUAUCAGUGUGGGAGUGGACACUGCUCCCGUAACUUCGGGAUCGGGGACACUUGAUGAAGAACCAAUGUCUUGGUCUUCUGUGGACUGAUGGAGGGAGACAAGGUUCUCUUGUAUUUUCAGAGGAUCAUCGCAGAUUUAUUUGGGAGAGGGGGUUGUACAUGUUGUAGGGUGGGUUAGACAAUGGAUCUGAUGAAAGGAGACGUUGUUCUCUGGGAUUACCAGAAUUGAUCGUGAUCACACUCUUUAAUUUGGAAAUGGGGUGGGGAAGGGUGGAUUGUAAAACAAUGGAUCUGAUGAAGGGAGACAACACUGUAAAAACGCUGUUCAAAAUUUUGAGCACGUUGUUUAAGUCCGUCACUAACAACUACCGUUUAAACAUUUUAAACAACUGUUUAAAA